AGUUUGAUCAUGGCUCAGGAUGAACGCUGGCGGUAUGCCUAACACAUGCAAGUCGAACGAUGUCUUCGGACAUAGUGGCGGACGGGUGAGUAACGCGUGAGAAUCUGCCUCUAGGAUGGGGAUAACGGUUGGAAACGACCGCUAACACCCAAUAUGCCGUAAGGUGAAAAAUUUAUUGCCUGGAGAGGAGCUCGCGUCUGAUUAGCUAGUUGGUGGGGUAAGAGCUCACCAAGGCUUCGAUCAGUAGCUGGUCUGAGAGGAUGAGCAGCCACACUGGGACUGAGACACGGCCCAGACUCCUACGGGAGGCAGCAGUGGGGAAUUUUCCGCAAUGGGCGAAAGCCUGACGGAGCAAUACCGCGUGAGGGAGGAAUGCCUUUGGGUUGUAAACCUCUUUUCUCAGGGAAGAAGAUCUGACGGUACCUGAGGAAUAAGUAUCGGCUAACUCCGUGCCAGCAGCCGCGGUAAUACGGAGGAUGCAAGCGUUAUCCGGAAUCAUUGGGCGUAAAGCGUCCGCAGGUGGUUUCCAAAGUCUGCUGUUAAAGACUGGAGCUCAACUCCGGAACGGCGGUGGAAACUUGGAAACUAGAGUUCGGUAGGGGUAGCAGGAACUCCCAGUGUAGCGGUGAAAUGCGUAGAUAUUGGGAAGAACAUCGGUGGCGAAGGCGUGCUACUGGACCGUAACUGACACUCAGGGACGAAAGCUAGGGGAGCGAAAGGGAUUAGAUACCCCUGUAGUCCUAGCUGUAAACGAUGGAAACUAGGUGUGGCUUGUAUCGACCCGAGCCGUGNCGUAGCU
This 799-nucleotide ribosomal RNA is filed under the name uncultured marine microorganism. Its description in RNAcentral is "bacterial SSU rRNA". It matches the Rfam family "Bacterial small subunit ribosomal RNA", at positions 10 to 853 of the family's 1533-position model. The record is from RNAcentral.